This 380-nucleotide ribosomal RNA is filed under the name uncultured eukaryote. RNAcentral's name for it is "partial 18S ribosomal RNA". It matches the Rfam family "Eukaryotic small subunit ribosomal RNA", at positions 592 to 976 of the family's 1831-position model. The record is from RNAcentral.
CAAUAGCGUAUAUUAAAGUUGUUGCGGUUAAAAAGCUCGUAGUUGGAUUUCUGCUGAGAACGACCGGUCCGCCCUUUGGGUGUGUAUCUGGCUCUUUCUUGGCAUCUUCUUGGUGAACGUUGCUGCACUUGACUGUGUGGAGCGCUACCCAGGACUUUUACUUUGAGGAAAUUAGAGUGUUUCAAGCAGGCAUACGCCUUGAAUACAUUAGCAUGGAAUAAUAAGAUAGGACCUCGGUUCUAUUUUGUUGGUUUCUAGAGCUGAGGUAAUGAUUAAUAGGGAUAGUUGGGGGCAUUCGUAUUUAACUGUCAUAGGUGAAAUUCUUGGAUUUGUUAAAGACGGACUACUGCGAAAGCAUUUGCCAAGGAUGUUUUCAUUGA